UCUCCUACGGGGGGCAGCAGUGGGGAAUAUUGGGCAAUGGGCGCAAGCCUGACCCAGCAACGCCGCGUGAAGGAAGAAGGCUUUCGGGUUGUAAACUUCUUUUGUCAGGGACGAAGCAAGUGACGGUACCUGACGAAUAAGCCACGGCUAACUACGUGCCAGCAGCCGCGGUAAUACGUAGGUGGCAAGCGUUAUCCGGAUUCAUUGGGUUUAAAGGGUGCGCAGGCGGGCCUUUAAGCCUGCGGUGAAAUCGCGGGGCCCAACCCCGCCGCGCCGUCCGCA
This 282-nucleotide ribosomal RNA is filed under the name uncultured bacterium. RNAcentral describes it as "partial 16S ribosomal RNA". It matches the Rfam family "Bacterial small subunit ribosomal RNA", at positions 335 to 632 of the family's 1533-position model. The record is from RNAcentral.